Molecule: long non-coding RNA, 760 nt
Filed under: Homo sapiens (human)
Lineage: Eukaryota; Metazoa; Chordata; Mammalia; Primates; Hominidae
Description: non-protein coding lnc-DIS3-3:1
Source: RNAcentral
GAGCUGAGUGUAAGCACCUCUUCCUAGCCCCAUUUUGGUAGCUCUACGCUGGCCAUAGUGGGAGUAUUCAUUCAUUCCAUCCUGCCAUGAAAAUCUAGGCCCCACUAUGAAAAUCAGGGUCUUUUUUCCUGGGAGCUGAUGGUUAAACAUUCAUGAACACACCUUUGGGGUUAUUCUACUACUUUUUAGAUUUGUUGCAUUUCCCUCCAGGGUUCAGGAGACAGAAACUAUCCCCACAAACUAAACACCAGCCCCAAAGUUAAUAUUAUGUCCCUUUUUCUUUUCUUUUCUUUUCUUUUUUGAUCAUUUAAAAAUUUUGAAUUAUAUUUAUUGAAACAUGACAUACUGUGCUCUUAUACCUCAAUUACAUUUUGUUCUGUUUUCCAAGUUCAUGUCUUAUAAAUCUCUUGUAUAAACUGUAGGUUAAAUUCAAAAUAAAAAAUCACAGUGUAAAAAAAAUCCAUUCUUUGCUGCGGAGAAUGGCAUGAGUAAAUUUAGGAAGGCCAGUUAGGAGACUACCGAAGAAUCCUAGGGAGGAGGACAUGAUGGCUUGAGCUAAGGUUGUGUUAACAAUUCACACACAGGAAAUGAAACACACAUGUAAAAUCAGAGAAUUGAAAUCUUUAAAUUUCAAAUUAGAAUUGGAUAUAUCAGUGGGAACUCAUGAGUUUUUCCCUCUCUUUAAAAACGUAUUAUUUUACAGCUUUAUUAAAAAUGCCUCAAAAUAAGGAAGGCCUAAAAGCAAUUGUCCUUCCCAGUG